AUUAGAAGAAAACAUAAAUCAGAAUAACAUUUUUGGAUUGAAACCCCACUUUGCCCUGACCGGCUCCGUCUCCAACCACCUCCCCCAAAUCCCGGCGCCGCCGCCGCCGCGAGAAUCUCUCCACCCACUCCCCCGAGUCCCCAGGAUGGCUCGUCUCGGCUCCACGACCGGGAACGGCGCGGCCAUGGUCGGUCGACAGCCCGCGCUGGCUCCUCGGCCAAGCGAGGCGGCUUGGGGGCGCCUCGGCCGCUGAGGCUCGCCGGUGGAGGCGCAGGGCGGCGGCGGCCCUCCUCUCCCUGCGGAUUCCUUCACGGCCGGACCGCCCCGACGUCCACGCCGGGCGGUGUACAAGGCCAAGGGCCGCCACGACCUCGACAUGAUCGUGGCAUACAAGCUUCGCCUCGAGCAGGAUCAUCUCCUCCCUUCCUUCCUCAAGGAGACCAGGUGCCGUUUCGCUCUUUCUGCAUGACGGAAGGACUGUGCACUCAAGGUUCAGGAUACCGCUGGCUAUUAGUUUGUGACAUAAAAGAUAGGGAGGGACAUAAUCACUGAUAGUCGAUGCAACUAUCACACGCUCGUCAUUGUGGCGGUUUGUGCGACAGUCCAUUACAUCACCUUUAUGUCACUCAUUGGACUGUCUAUUCUCAUUGGAUUUUCCUCCUUGGAUGGAAUUCAACGCUCUCUCUGAGCUUAAAGUUGGCACCGCUUGUUGCAUUGUCUGUGCCUAUGUUUCACGACUGUGGCACCAUCGCGGUGCAACAGAUACUGGUCCUAUUAAACAUACUGAAUGGUCUUGCUUGACAAUAUGGGAAACCACAUCUAUGCAGAGUUUUCAGAGAAGGUUGUCCACCAGUUCAUAGAUCUUAUUUAAGGAAUCAUGGUAUAUGAGCUUAGGAAGUUCUUUGUGCUCUCAAGGAAGUAUCUAUUCAGGCCUCCUGAGGGGAUCUUGCAUGAUCAAGAUCACUUCGUUCACUACUGCUUUCACAAGGCCUGGCAUUGAGCCAGACUUCCUGUUCUGUACGCUUUAACUCCGCCGGCUCAGCUCCCUGGUCCAACUGACAUGCCUGAAAAGUUCACAGAGGCAAGCAAACCAGUGCGGUGGUCAUAUGGCCUUGAAGUUUGCUGCUGAUGAAGUUAUUGAACUGGGCAAGAAAGAACCGGUCGUUGCUAUGUUUGUUGGGACGCUGUUCAAGAAAUAGGAAGGUCGUAGAGGUGUAACUGGAAGUGCUGCGUGUCGCUGGUACAUUAAUGAAGAUUUGCAGACAUAAGAUUGUUCAGCAGAAGGGCAGGGGCUGCUGCCAAGGUCGACGCACAAGUCAAUUUACAAACAAAACCAGUUCAGGAAUUGCUUGACCUCGAUUUGUUUGAAGACCAGGAUGUCCACUUCUUCUGCACUUUCAUCGUUAUGGGGCUUAGUCCUAGCUACCCAGUGAUGGUGGUUCUGUUUUUGCAGCAUGCCAUAAGUCGUCAGCGCCUUGUGCAGCUGCGUAUAAGUGCUCAGACCCUGACUGCAAUGGGAUGGAUGCGUUCCUAGGUACCGGAUAUAUGCUACCCGGUCCAUGAUGAUGGUUCCGAGGCCAAGUUUGUUCUCUUCGACACGGUCCAGUAUUGCUUUGUCGUGUUGAUCCCCAAUAAGUGUUAUCUAAACGAGCAAGAGUCCAGCAGCAUCCAGGAGUGGUUCAUGUAGCUGUGUUGUUUCUCUUCUAGCUGAUGGUGUCAGUGAUACUUUGCAAGGAGAUAUGUCGCCUUCACAUGGACUUGCUGCUGUUCAGAAAACUGAAGACAUCCCCACUCCGGGUCUGACCACGACACCACCUCCUAAGGGUGGAUAGGAGACACCUCAUUCCGCUUCAAAAACAGUUGGACUCUAGGUAUGUAUAAAUUCACUGAACGGAAUGGUCGCCUUCAUAGCUUGACCACAUUUGUUCUGACAUGCAUGUUGUGCAGCCAUGGUGCUUCUCCUAUCAAGAAAAUAGUUACAGUUUUGAGAUGCUCUUUGUCAGGAAAAUUCAAUUAUUAUUCAUGUCAAAAUCUCAUUUGGGACAGCAUGUCAAAAACCUUAAAGCUGAACCAAAAGUGCAAUUCUAUACUUGGCUGUCAAUCUAAAACCGUAACUGGACUGCAGAUAGACGUAAAAACAGAUGGCCCCAUGAUGGCAACUGCGUCCUCUGUGAUCAGUCCAGUCGAAACGGCUGCCCAUCUCACACACUACAUUGCCCUUUUGCCAAAGAGGUGUGAAAGCGGAAUCAUCUUUCUGACCCCGGUUACUCCAUGUCCAACAUUGCGUUGCAGGCCAUGCACAUCCGUGAAGAAAUGGUGAAGCUACUCUGCUCACAUGGCGAGGAAAACUAGGAAAAAAGACUCAGGCUGUCACUUAGUUAUAUGGUUGUUGCCUGUAAUAUUUCGAAAGAGCGAGACGGGAGGCUCUUUGAAGGAAAAGAGAGCACCACAUCACUCGGAGCUGCUGAACUUGUCCGAAGCGACGUCGCUCUUCUUUAAGAUGCUUGCCAGAGCUAAUUUAGGUCAUUGUACAGCGAAGUGCCAUCUUAUCUUGGCUGGUUCGAUUGUUUAGCCUUUUGUUUCCUGAUCUUUACCCUGUAAAAGGAUUGUAAUUCCGCCUUCUCAAUGCCAAGCCCCUCUUUGACAGUCC
This is a long non-coding RNA of Triticum dicoccoides, 2650 nucleotides long. RefSeq lists it as uncharacterized. The transcript has 12 exons. The record is from RefSeq and is a predicted model, not a curated record. NCBI's taxonomy places the organism in Eukaryota, Viridiplantae, Streptophyta, Magnoliopsida, Poales, Poaceae.